GUACUACUCUCAGAGUUUGAUCCUGGCUCAGGACGAACGCUGGCGGCGUGCUUAACACAUGCAAGUCGAACGGAGUUAAGGAGCUUGCUUCUUAACUUAGUGGCGAACGGGUGAGUAACGCGUGAGGAACCUGCCUUUCAGUGGGGGACAACAGUUGGAAACGACUGCUAAUACCGCAUAAUGUUAUCGGGCGGCAUCGCUUGAUAACCAAAGAUUUAUUGCUGAAAGAUGGCCUCGCGUCUGAUUAGCUAGUUGGUGGGGUAACGGCCCACCAAGGCGACGAUCAGUAGCCGGACUGAGAGGUUGACCGGCCACAUUGGGACUGAGAUACGGCCCAG
RNAcentral lists this ribosomal RNA (338 nucleotides) under uncultured bacterium. Its description in RNAcentral is "bacterial SSU rRNA". It matches the Rfam family "Bacterial small subunit ribosomal RNA", at positions 1 to 334 of the family's 1533-position model. The record is from RNAcentral.